GAUGAACGCUGGCGGCGUGUCUAAUACAUGCAAGUCGAGCGAACGGACGAGAAGCUUGCUUCUCUGAUGUUAGCGGCGGACGGGUGAGUAACACGUGGAUAACCUACCUAUAAGACUGGGAUAACUUCGGGAAACCGGAGCUAAUACCGGAUAAUAUUUUGAACCGCAUGGUUCAAAAGUGAAAGACGUUCUUGCUGUCACUUAUAGAUGGAUCCGCGCUGCAUUAGCUAGUUGGUAAGGUAACGGCUUACCAAGGCAACGAUGCAUAGCCGACCUGAGAGGGUGUUCGGCCACACUGGAACUGAGACACGGUCCAGACUCCUACGGGAGGCAGCAGUAGGGAAUCUUCCGCAAUGGGCGAAAGCCUGACGGAGCAACGCCGCGUGAGUGAUGAAGGUCUUCGGAUCGUAAAACUCUGUUAUUAGGGAAGAACAUAUGUGUAAGUAACUGUGCACAUCUUGACGGUACCUAAUCAGAAAGCCACGGCUAACUACGUG
RNAcentral lists this ribosomal RNA (497 nucleotides) under uncultured bacterium. Its description in RNAcentral is "partial 16S ribosomal RNA". It matches the Rfam family "Bacterial small subunit ribosomal RNA", at positions 28 to 507 of the family's 1533-position model. The record is from RNAcentral.